AACGAGGCCGACCUGCGGCUGAGUUACCUGCGGAAGGAUCAUUACAGAGUUCAUGCCCUCACGGGUAGAUCUCCCACCCUUGAAUACUAUACCUUUGUUGCUUUGGCGGGCCGCUUUGGCUACUGGCUCUGGCUAGUAAGUGCCCGCCAAAGAACCCCAAAACUCUGAAUAUUAGUGUCGUCUGAGUACUAUAUAAUAGUUAAAACUUUUAGCAAUGGAUCUCAGAUCGGAAGAGCACAC
This 240-nucleotide unclassified non-coding RNA is filed under the name soil metagenome. RNAcentral's name for it is "partial contains 5.8S ribosomal RNA, internal transcribed spacer 2, and large subunit ribosomal RNA". The record is from RNAcentral.